CACUGGGUUAAGCAUUUCCUGAGCUAAGGGCUGCCUACGGCUCCGAGGCCCUGGAAAUGUAAAGAUGAAAAAUACUCCUGAUUCUUGAGUGAUGCACAAUCCAAUAGAAGAUUAGACAUAAGAAGAAAUGUGACACAUGCAUGAAAGAACAUAAUAACACAGAUGCUUUUACAAGGAGAAUCUUCUGGCUAAAGGUUAGGGGGAUGUAGCAAUUCAUGAAUUCAGAGGAGUGAGAAUCACUUCAAACUAUAAAGAUUGAGCAAGGUUUUAUUGAAGAAGAGUCAGGAUGUUAACUGGAUCUCAAAGGGCUUGGGAGAGGAGAGAAGACAGAAAAAAGUAAGGAAAAUGCAACCCAGGGUCAGUGGCAGUAAGCAGAACACCUUGGCCGAAAUAUGAAUUUGAGGAAGGUAAGUUAAGAGUUAAAACUGGAAAUAUAGGCAGGGAGCAAAUUGUAGGGUUUUAAUGCUGCUGUUGUUUACCAUAAAACUAAAAGCUAAACUUUCAGUAAAUUAAGCUAAUCAAAUUCCAGAAAGUUUUUGUGUGGAGAGAGUUCCCUAUGGGAGGGGGGAUCUCCAUAGGCUGCUAAAUUUUUAUCAUAAAGUAAGUCUUACUGCCAGAAAAAAGUCACUGUAAUAAUAACCUAGUAGGGUUCCACAUGUAUCCCAAUACAGUAAUGUCCACAUCAAAUUUGCA
Herpailurus yagouaroundi (jaguarundi) is the source of this 693-nucleotide long non-coding RNA. RefSeq lists it as uncharacterized. Lineage: Eukaryota; Metazoa; Chordata; Mammalia; Carnivora; Felidae. The record is from RefSeq and is a predicted model, not a curated record. The transcript has 4 exons.